CAGUCGCCGCGGGAAUACGAAGGUCCCGAGCGUUGUUCGGAAUCACUGGGCGUAAAGGGAGCGUAGGCGGCGUGGUAAGUCAGAUGUGAAAUCCCGGGGCUCAACCCCGGAACUGCAUCCGAUACUGCCAUGCUAGAGGAUUGGAGAGGUAGCUGGAAUUCUUGGUGUAGCAGUGAAAUGCGUGGAGAUCAAGAGGAACACUCGUGGCGAAAGCGAGCUACUGGACAAUAACUGACGCUGAGGCUCGAAGGCCAGGGUAGCGAAAGGGAUUAGAUACCCCCGUAGUCCCUGUCUCUUAUAC
RNAcentral lists this ribosomal RNA (301 nucleotides) under uncultured bacterium. RNAcentral's name for it is "partial 16S ribosomal RNA". It matches the Rfam family "Bacterial small subunit ribosomal RNA", at positions 509 to 807 of the family's 1533-position model. The record is from RNAcentral.